CUUGUGGUGCUGCUGGGUAGACAUUUGGCACAUUUGUUGUCAUAAAAUCUGCAAUCUGCUGUAAAGCCAAUAAACCUGUUGGAUUCUUCCCCUUCUUAAAUUGUUCCUGGAUCAUAGACUCCAAUUCUUCACAAAAAGCUGGGCUUUGAAGAAUCAUGGAGACUCUCUUCUUCUGUUCCAUCAUGUUAAAAUCCUGGCGAAGGUCAGGUGCCAUAUUCCUCUCUCUCAAGUAAUCUGGAUUAUUCUCAUCAACUCGAUCAAAAUACCUCUCUUUAUGAGGGGCUGUUGUUGGAGGUGGCGAGGUCACCACCGCCACGCCAGAAUCACCAUUCAUAGUACGGCUUUAUGGAACCCGAGGGCAGAUGAGAAAAAGCAGCGGGCACCGGCGCGACGGAAGGAGAAAGACGGGGCCGCUACGGGCAACCUCUCCGCCGAGCCCGUCGCCUCUGCCUCUGGCCCCAGCGCCG
RNAcentral lists this long non-coding RNA (467 nucleotides) under Gallus gallus (chicken). Lineage: Eukaryota; Metazoa; Chordata; Aves; Galliformes; Phasianidae. The record is from RNAcentral.